UACGUAGGUGGCAAGCGUUGUCCGGAUUUACUGGGCGUAAAGCGUAUGCAGGCGGAAGCGUAAGUAGGAAGUGAAAGGUUGGGGCUCAACCCUAACACGGCUCCCUAUACUGCGUUUCUGGAGGGCCGGAGAGGACAAGGGAACGGGUCGUGUAGCGGUGAAAUGCGUUGAGAUGACUCGGAACACCAAUGGCGAAAGCACUUGUCUGGACGGCACCUGACGCUGAGAUACGAAAGCCAAGGGAGCGAACAGG
Molecule: ribosomal RNA, 253 nt
Filed under: uncultured bacterium
Lineage: Bacteria
Description: partial 16S ribosomal RNA
Rfam family: Bacterial small subunit ribosomal RNA
Source: RNAcentral